GACGAACGCUGGCGGCGUGCUUAACACAUGCAAGUCGAACGGAAAGGCCCUGCUUUUGUGGGGUGCUCGAGUGGCGAACGGGUGAGUAACACGUGAGUAACCUGCCCUUGACUUUGGGAUAACUUCAGGAAACUGGGGCUCAUACCGGGUAGGAUCUCCUGCUGCAUGGUGGGGGUUGGUAAGUUUCGGCGGUUGGGGAUGUACUCGCGGCUUAUCAGCUUGUUGGUGGGGUAGUGGCUUACCAAGGCUUUGACGGGUAGCCGGCCUGGGCGGGUGACCGGCCACAUUGGGACUGAGAUACGGCCCAGACUGCUACGGGAGGCAGCAGUGGGGAAUAGUGCACAAUGGGCGGAAGCCUGAUGCAGCAACGCCGCGUGCGGGAUGACGGCCUUCGGGUUGUAAACCGCUUUCGCCUGUGACGAAGCGUGAGUGACGGUAAUGGGUAAAGAAGCACCGGCUAACUACGUG
RNAcentral lists this ribosomal RNA (468 nucleotides) under uncultured bacterium. RNAcentral's name for it is "partial 16S ribosomal RNA". It matches the Rfam family "Bacterial small subunit ribosomal RNA", at positions 28 to 507 of the family's 1533-position model. The record is from RNAcentral.